RNAcentral lists this ribosomal RNA (544 nucleotides) under uncultured bacterium. Its description in RNAcentral is "partial 16S ribosomal RNA". It matches the Rfam family "Bacterial small subunit ribosomal RNA", at positions 356 to 914 of the family's 1533-position model. The record is from RNAcentral.
GGGGAAUAUUGCACAAUGGGCGAAAGCCUGAUGCAGCAACGCCGCGUGAGUGAUGAAGGUCUUCGGAUUGUAAAGCUCUGUCUUUUGGGACGAUAAUGACGGUACCAAAGGAGGAAGCCACGGCUAACUACGUGCCAGCAGCCGCGGUAAUACGUAGGUGGCGAGCGUUGUCCGGAUUUACUGGGCGUAAAGGGUGCGUAGGCGGAUGUUUAAGUGAGAUGUGAAAUACCCGGGCUUAACUUGGGUGCUGCAUUUCAAACUGGAUAUCUAGAGUGCAGGAGAGGAGAAUGGAAUUCCUAGUGUAGCGGUGAAAUGCGUAGAGAUUAGGAAGAACACCAGUGGCGAAGGCGAUUCUCUGGACUGUAACUGACGCUGAGGCACGAAAGCGUGGGUAGCAAACAGGAUUAGAUACCCUGGUAGUCCACGCCGUAAACGAUGAGUACUAGGUGUAGGAGGUAUCGACCCCUUCUGUGCCGCAGUAAACACAUUAAGUACUCCGCCUGGGAAGUACGAUCGCAAGAUUAAAACUCUAAAGUGAAUUGAC